AGACUUUGAUUAUGGCUCAGAUUGAACGCUAGCGGGAUGCUUUACACAUGCAAGUCGAACGGCAGCAUGAGAGAGCUUGCUCUCUUGAUGGCGAGUGGCGGACGGGUGAGUAAUGUAUCGGAACGUGCCCGGUAGUGGGGGAUAACUACGCGAAAGCGUAGCUAAUACCGCAUAUACUCUACGGAGGAAAGAGGGGGAUCGUAAGACCUCUUGCUACCGGAGCGGCCGAUAUCAGAUUAGCUGGUUGGUGGGGUAACGGCCUACCAAGGCGGUGAUCUGUAGCUGGUUUGAGAGGACGACCAGCCACACUGGGACUGAGACACGGCCCAGACUCCUACGGGAGGCAGCAGUGGGGAAUUUUCGACAAUGGGGGGAACCCUGAUCGAGCCAUCUCGCGUGUGGGACGAAGGCCUUCGGGUUGUAAACCACUUUUUCUCAACGAAGAAAAGUCUUAAGGCUAAUACCUUAAGAAUGCCUGACCGGUAGUUUGAGGAAAUAAGCACCCGGGCUAACUAC
Molecule: ribosomal RNA, 516 nt
Filed under: uncultured bacterium
Lineage: Bacteria
Description: bacterial SSU rRNA
Rfam family: Bacterial small subunit ribosomal RNA
Source: RNAcentral